AUUGAACGCUGGCGGCAUGCCUUACACAUGCAAGUCGAACGGUAACACGGGGCAACCUGGCGACGAGUGGCGAACGGGUGAGUAAUGUAUCGGAACGUGCCCAGUUGUGGGGGAUAACUGCUCGAAAGAGCAGCUAAUACCGCAUACGACCUGAGGGUGAAAGCGGGGGAUCGCAAGACCUCGCGCAGUUGGAGCGGCCGAUAUCAGAUUAGGUAGUUGGUGGGGUAAAGGCUCACCAAGCCAACGAUCUGUAGCUGGUCUGAGAGGACGACCAGCCACACUGGGACUGGGACACGGCCCAGACUCCUACGGGAGGCAGCAGUGGGGAAUUUUGGACAAUGGGGGCAACCCUGAUCCAGCCAUGCCGCGUGCGGGAAGAAGGCCUUCGGGUUGUAAACCGCUUUUGUCAGGGAAGAAAAGACUCUUGUUAAUACCGGGGGUUCAUGACGGUACCUGAAGAAUAAGCACCGGCUAACUACGUGCCAGCCGCCGCAGUAA
RNAcentral lists this ribosomal RNA (498 nucleotides) under uncultured bacterium. RNAcentral's name for it is "partial 16S ribosomal RNA". It matches the Rfam family "Bacterial small subunit ribosomal RNA", at positions 29 to 523 of the family's 1533-position model. The record is from RNAcentral.